AUCACAAUACCUCCUUAAACACACCGUAUGUGAUUCAGAAAGUGAAACAGGGUCAGGCCUGGUUAGUAUUUGGAUGGGAGACCAUCAGGGUAUGCCAUGGAUC
This 103-nucleotide ribosomal RNA is filed under the name Pogona vitticeps (central bearded dragon). The record is from RNAcentral. Lineage: Eukaryota; Metazoa; Chordata; Lepidosauria; Squamata; Agamidae.